AUCCGCCUGGGAAACUACGAAGCAACAGCUUAAAACCCAAAGGACUUGGCGGUGCUUUAGACCCACCUAGAGGAGCCUGUUCUAUAACCGAUAACCCCCGUUUAACCUCACCUUUCCUUGUCAUUUCCGCCUAUAUACCGCCGUCGCCAGCUUACCCUGUGAAGGUCCCCUAGUAAGCACAAUUGGUACAACCCAAAACGUCAGGUCGAGGUGUAGCGUAUGGAGAGGGAAGAAAUGGGCUACAUUCCCUAUUACAGUGAAUCACGGAUAAUAUUACUGAAACGUGUAUCUAGAAGGAGGAUUUAGCAGUAAGCGGAAAGCAGAGCGUCCCGCUGAAACCGGCCCUGAAGCGCGCACACACCGCCCGUCACUCUCUCCAAGCAUUUCUUUUUAAUUUAACUUAAAACAUUAUACCAGCAAAGGGGAGGCAA
This 431-nucleotide ribosomal RNA is filed under the name Epinephelus areolatus (areolate grouper). Its description in RNAcentral is "partial 12S ribosomal RNA". It matches the Rfam family "Bacterial small subunit ribosomal RNA", at positions 867 to 1474 of the family's 1533-position model. Lineage: Eukaryota; Metazoa; Chordata; Actinopteri; Perciformes; Serranidae. The record is from RNAcentral.